RNAcentral lists this ribosomal RNA (406 nucleotides) under uncultured bacterium. RNAcentral's name for it is "partial 16S ribosomal RNA". It matches the Rfam family "Bacterial small subunit ribosomal RNA", at positions 30 to 526 of the family's 1533-position model. The record is from RNAcentral.
AUUGAACGCUGGCGGCAGGCCUAACACAUGCAAGUCGAACGAGUGGCGGACGGGUGAGUAAUGUAUGGGAAACUGACUGAAGGAGGGGGAUAACUAAUGAGAACGGUAGCUAAUACCGCAUACCAGCAGAUGUGACCAGCUGGGAGUUGCUUGUUGGUGGGGUAACGGCUCACCAAGGCGACGAACCCUAGCUGGUCUGAGAGGAUGACCAGCCACACUGGAACUGAGACACGGUCCAGACUCCUACGGUAGGCAGCAGUGGGGAAUAUUGCACAAUGGUCGCAAGCCUGAUGCAGCCAUGCCGCGUGUAUGAAGAAGGCCUUCGGGUUGUAAAGUACUUUCAGCGUGGAGGCGUUACCCGCAGAAGAAGCACCGGCUAACUCCGUGCCAGCAGCCGCGGUAAUUC